AAAACUAAUAUAGGAGAAUUUCUAAUUCUCUUGAGGCUUAUAGUCAAGUUUUU
Molecule: transfer RNA, 53 nt
Filed under: Pandarus rhincodonicus
Lineage: Eukaryota; Metazoa; Arthropoda; Copepoda; Siphonostomatoida; Pandaridae
Description: tRNA-Ser
Source: RNAcentral